This 325-nucleotide long non-coding RNA is filed under the name Ananas comosus (pineapple). RNAcentral describes it as "long non-coding RNA (ACOM_LNC031509)". The record is from RNAcentral. Lineage: Eukaryota; Viridiplantae; Streptophyta; Magnoliopsida; Poales; Bromeliaceae.
AGAAUGUUUUUGCAGGAAUUAAUUCAAGACUUCAAGACUCCAUGUCUAAGUCAUAGAGUUUGUAUUAAGGGUGUAAAAGUGUAAUUUUCGUUUAUUGGAUUGAUCAUGCAGGAGAUUCUCGUUUGGUGAUUGCGAUGAUCUUCUUUUUAUGAAUUAUGAGUUGUAUACGAACUUUGUAGUAUAUUUUGUCACGAAAUCGCCAAAGGGGGAGAUUGUUAAUGAUUUUAUAGAUUGGCGAAUUUCGUAGAGUUGUUUGGAGUCUUGAAGAGUUGAUCGCAGAAGUUAUUCAAAUUGGAGAACGAAGACUUAUUCGGAAAGUUUGACA